GACGAACGCUGGCGGCGUGCUUAACACAUGCAAGUCGAACGGAGUGGCGAACGGGUGAGUAACACGUGGGUGACCUGCCUUGCACUUCGGGAUAAGCUUGGGAAACUGGGUCUAAUACCGGAUAGUGCAAGAUGAGCUCGCGGCCUAUCGGCUUGUUGGUGGGGUAAUGGCCUACCAAGGCGUCGAAGGGUAGCCGGCCUGAGUGGGUGUACGGCCACAUUGGUGCUGAGGUACGGCGCAGACUCCUACGGGAGGCAGCAGUGGUGAAUAGUGCACAACGGGCGGAAGGCUGAUGCAGCAACGCCGCGUGGGGGAUGAAGGCCUUCGGGUUGUAAACUCCUUUCGACAGUGACGCGGUACCUGUAUAAGAAGCACCGGCUAACUACGUGCCAGCCGCCGCGGUAAUUC
RNAcentral lists this ribosomal RNA (408 nucleotides) under uncultured bacterium. RNAcentral describes it as "partial 16S ribosomal RNA". It matches the Rfam family "Bacterial small subunit ribosomal RNA", at positions 28 to 526 of the family's 1533-position model. The record is from RNAcentral.